This 99-nucleotide ribosomal RNA is filed under the name Acanthosepion pharaonis. The record is from RNAcentral. Lineage: Eukaryota; Metazoa; Mollusca; Cephalopoda; Sepiida; Sepiidae.
GUUGAAACACUGGUUCCUGUAUGAUCACCAAAGUUAAGCAAUGUUGAGCUUGAUCAGUACCUAGAUGGGAGAUCGCUUGGGAAUACCAGGUGCUGUAAG